GCUCCUUGCGGUUACCCCACCGGCUUCGGGUGUUGUAAACUCUCGUGGUGUGACGGGCGGUGUGUACAAGACCCGGGAACGUAUUCACCGCGGCAUGCUGAUCCGCGAUUACUAGCAAUUCCGACUUCAUGCAGGCGAGUUGCAGCCUGCAAUCCGAACUGAGACCGACUUUGAUAGGAUUGGCUCCACCUCGCGGUUUCGCUUCCCGUUGUAUCGGCCAUUGUAGUACGUGUGUAGCCCAGGUCAUAAGGGGCAUGAUGAUUUGACGUCAUCCCCACCUUCCUCCGGUUUGUCACCGGCAGUCAUCCUAGAGUGCCCACCUUAA
RNAcentral lists this ribosomal RNA (325 nucleotides) under Paenibacillus sp. RNAcentral describes it as "partial 16S ribosomal RNA". Lineage: Bacteria; Bacillati; Bacillota; Bacilli; Caryophanales; Paenibacillaceae. The record is from RNAcentral.